Molecule: ribosomal RNA, 465 nt
Filed under: uncultured bacterium
Lineage: Bacteria
Description: partial 16S ribosomal RNA
Rfam family: Bacterial small subunit ribosomal RNA
Source: RNAcentral
GACGAACGCUGGCGGCGUGCUUAACACAUGCAAGUCGAACGGAAAGGCCCCUUUGGGGGUACUCGAGUGGCGAACGGGUGAGUAACACGUGAGUAACCUGCCCUUGACUUCGGGAUAACUUCAGGAAACUGGGGCUAAUACCGGAUAGGAAUCCUUGCUGCAUGGUGGGGGUUGGAAAGCUUCGGCGGUUUUGGAUGGACUCGCGGCUUAUCAGCUUGUUGGUGGGGUAGUGGCUUACCAAGGCUUUGACGGGUAGCCGGCCUGAGAGGGCGACCGGCCACAUUGGGACUGAGAUACGGCCCAGACUCCUACGGGAGGCAGCAGUGGGGAAUAUUGCACAAUGGGCGGAAGCCUGAUGCAGCAACGCCGCGUGCGGGAUGACGGCCUUCGGGUUGUAAACCGCUUUCAGCAGGGGCGAAGCUUGUGGUGACGGUACCUGCAGAAGAAGCACCGGCUGACUACGUG